This 2891-nucleotide ribosomal RNA is filed under the name Pseudomonas sp. B21-032. RNAcentral describes it as "23S ribosomal RNA". It matches the Rfam family "Bacterial large subunit ribosomal RNA". Lineage: Bacteria; Pseudomonadati; Pseudomonadota; Gammaproteobacteria; Pseudomonadales; Pseudomonadaceae. The record is from RNAcentral.
GGUCAAGUGAAGAAGCGCAUACGGUGGAUGCCUUGGCAGUCAGAGGCGAUGAAAGACGUGGUAGCCUGCGAUAAGCUUCGGGGAGUCGGCAAACAGACUUUGAUCCGGAGAUCUCUGAAUGGGGGAACCCACUCAGCAUAAGCUGAGUAUCUUGUACUGAAUACAUAGGUGCAAGAGGCGAACCAGGGGAACUGAAACAUCUAAGUACCCUGAGGAAAAGAAAUCAACCGAGAUUCCCUUAGUAGUGGCGAGCGAACGGGGACUAGCCCUUAAGUGGCUUUGAGAUUAGCGGAACGCUCUGGAAAGUGCGGCCAUAGUGGGUGAUAGCCCUGUACGCGAAAAUCUCUUAGUCAUGAAAUCGAGUAGGACGGAGCACGAGAAACUUUGUCUGAAUAUGGGGGGACCAUCCUCCAAGGCUAAAUACUACUGACUGACCGAUAGUGAACCAGUACCGUGAGGGAAAGGCGAAAAGAACCCCGGAGAGGGGAGUGAAAUAGAUCCUGAAACCGUAUGCGUACAAGCAGUGGGAGCCUACUUUGUUAGGUGACUGCGUACCUUUUGUAUAAUGGGUCAGCGACUUAUAUUCAGUGGCGAGCUUAACCGAAUAGGGGAGGCGUAGCGAAAGCGAGUCUUAAUAGGGCGUUUAGUCGCUGGGUAUAGACCCGAAACCGGGCGAUCUAUCCAUGGGCAGGUUGAAGGUUAGGUAACACUGACUGGAGGACCGAACCGACUACCGUUGAAAAGUUAGCGGAUGACCUGUGGAUCGGAGUGAAAGGCUAAUCAAGCUCGGAGAUAGCUGGUUCUCCUCGAAAGCUAUUUAGGUAGCGCCUCAUGUAUCACUGUAGGGGGUAGAGCACUGUUUCGGCUAGGGGGUCAUCCCGACUUACCAAACCGAUGCAAACUCCGAAUACCUACAAGUGCCGAGCAUGGGAGACACACGGCGGGUGCUAACGUCCGUCGUGAAAAGGGAAACAACCCAGACCGUCAGCUAAGGUCCCAAAGUUAUGGUUAAGUGGGAAACGAUGUGGGAAGGCUUAGACAGCUAGGAGGUUGGCUUAGAAGCAGCCACCCUUUAAAGAAAGCGUAAUAGCUCACUAGUCGAGUCGGCCUGCGCGGAAGAUGUAACGGGGCUCAAACCAUACACCGAAGCUACGGGUAUCACUUAGGUGAUGCGGUAGAGGAGCGUUCUGUAAGCCUGUGAAGGUGAGUUGAGAAGCUUGCUGGAGGUAUCAGAAGUGCGAAUGCUGACAUGAGUAACGACAAUGGGAGUGAAAAACUCCCACGCCGAAAGACCAAGGUUUCCUGCGCAACGUUAAUCGACGCAGGGUUAGUCGGUCCCUAAGGCGAGGCUGAAAAGCGUAGUCGAUGGAAAACAGGUUAAUAUUCCUGUACUUCUGGUUAUUGCGAUGGAGGGACGGAGAAGGCUAGGCCAGCUUGGCGUUGGUUGUCCAAGUUUAAGGUGGUAGGCUGAGAUCUUAGGUAAAUCCGGGAUCUUAAGGCCGAGAGCUGAUGACGAGUUGCCUUUAGGCGACGAAGUGGUUGAUGCCAUGCUUCCAAGAAAAGCUUCUAAGCUUCAGAUAACCAGGAACCGUACCCCAAACCGACACAGGUGGUUGGGUAGAGAAUACCAAGGCGCUUGAGAGAACUCGGGUGAAGGAACUAGGCAAAAUGGCACCGUAACUUCGGGAGAAGGUGCGCCGGUGAGGGUGAAGGACUUGCUCCGUAAGCCCAUGCCGGUCGAAGAUACCAGGCCGCUGCGACUGUUUAUUAAAAACACAGCACUCUGCAAACACGAAAGUGGACGUAUAGGGUGUGACGCCUGCCCGGUGCCGGAAGGUUAAUUGAUGGGGUUAGCUAACGCGAAGCUCUUGAUCGAAGCCCCGGUAAACGGCGGCCGUAACUAUAACGGUCCUAAGGUAGCGAAAUUCCUUGUCGGGUAAGUUCCGACCUGCACGAAUGGCGUAACGAUGGCGGCGCUGUCUCCACCCGAGACUCAGUGAAAUUGAAAUCGCUGUGAAGAUGCAGUGUAUCCGCGGCUAGACGGAAAGACCCCGUGAACCUUUACUAUAGCUUUGCACUGGACUUUGAAUUUGCUUGUGUAGGAUAGGUGGGAGGCUUUGAAGCGUGGACGCCAGUUCGCGUGGAGCCAUCCUUGAAAUACCACCCUGGCAACUUUGAGGUUCUAACUCAGGUCCGUUAUCCGGAUCGAGGACAGUGUAUGGUGGGUAGUUUGACUGGGGCGGUCUCCUCCUAAAGAGUAACGGAGGAGUACGAAGGUGCGCUCAGACCGGUCGGAAAUCGGUCGUAGAGUAUAAAGGCAAAAGCGCGCUUGACUGCGAGACAGACACGUCGAGCAGGUACGAAAGUAGGUCUUAGUGAUCCGGUGGUUCUGUAUGGAAGGGCCAUCGCUCAACGGAUAAAAGGUACUCCGGGGAUAACAGGCUGAUACCGCCCAAGAGUUCAUAUCGACGGCGGUGUUUGGCACCUCGAUGUCGGCUCAUCACAUCCUGGGGCUGAAGCCGGUCCCAAGGGUAUGGCUGUUCGCCAUUUAAAGUGGUACGCGAGCUGGGUUUAGAACGUCGUGAGACAGUUCGGUCCCUAUCUGCCGUGGACGUUUGAGAUUUGAGAGGGGCUGCUCCUAGUACGAGAGGACCGGAGUGGACGAACCUCUGGUGUUCCGGUUGUCACGCCAGUGGCAUUGCCGGGUAGCUAUGUUCGGAAGAGAUAACCGCUGAAAGCAUCUAAGCGGGAAACUUGCCUCAAGAUGAGAUCUCACUGGAGCCUUGAGCUCCCUGAAGGGCCGUCGAAGACUACGACGUUGAUAGGUUGGGUGUGUAAGCGCUGUGAGGCGUUGAGCUAACCAAUACUAAUUGCCCGUGAGGCUUGACCAU